RNAcentral lists this ribosomal RNA (943 nucleotides) under Nakataea oryzae. RNAcentral's name for it is "LSU rRNA". It matches the Rfam family "Eukaryotic large subunit ribosomal RNA", at positions 1 to 989 of the family's 3401-position model. The record is from RNAcentral. Lineage: Eukaryota; Fungi; Ascomycota; Sordariomycetes; Magnaporthales; Magnaporthaceae.
UUUUCUCUCUCUCCCCCCGGGAAAUACUCUAUCAAUAAGCGGAGGAAAAGAAACCAACAGGGAUUGCCCUAGUAACGGCGAGUGAAGCGGCAACAGCUCAAAUUUGAAAUCUGGCCCUAGGCCCGAGUUGUAAUUUGCAGAGGAUGCUUUUGGUGAAGCGCUUACCGAGUCCCCUGGAACGGGGCGCCACAGAGGGUGAGAGCCCCGUAUGGUUUGACGCCGAGCCUCUGUAAAGCUCCUUCGACGAGUCGAGUAGUUUGGGAAUGCUGCUCUAAACGGGAGGUAAAUUUCUUCUAAAGCUAAAUACCGGCCAGAGACCGAUAGCGCACAAGUAGAGUGAUCGAAAGAUGAAAAGCACUUUGAAAAGAGGGUUAAAUAGCACGUGAAAUUGUUGAAAGGGAAGCGCUCGUGACCAGACUUGCGCCGGGCGGAUCAUCCAGCGUUCUCGCUGGUGCACUCCGCCCGGCUCAGGCCAGCAUCGAUUUUCGCCGGGGGACAAAAGCUUCGGGAACGUGGCUCUCUUCGGGGAGUGUUAUAGCCCGUUGCGUAAUACCCCGGCGGGGAUCGAGGACCGCGCUUCGGCAAGGAUGCUGGCGUAAUGGUCAUCAGCGACCCGUCUUGAAACACGGACCGAGGAGUCAAGCAUUAGUGCGAGUGUUUGGGUGUAAAACCCGCACGCGUAAUGAAAGUGAACGUAGGUGAGAGCUUCGGCGCAUCAUCGACCGAUCCUGAUGUUUUCGGAUGGAUUUGAGUAGGAGCAUUAACGCUUGGACCCGAAAGAUGGUGAACUAUACUUGAAUAGGGUGAAGCCAGAGGAAACUCUGGUGGAGCUCGCAGCGGUUCUGACGUGCAAAUCGAUCGUCAAUUUGAGUAUAGGGCGAAAGACUAAUCGAACAUCUAGUAGCUGGUACGCUUUUCUCCUCCUCUCGAGCAGAGAGAGAAA